Non-coding RNA from Podarcis lilfordi (Lilford's wall lizard), 66 nucleotides. The record is from the annotation of a GenBank genome assembly. Lineage: Eukaryota; Metazoa; Chordata; Lepidosauria; Squamata; Lacertidae.
GGAGCUCAGUGGCAGAGUAUCUGCUUUUCAUGCAGAAGGUCCCAGGUUCAAUCCUCAGCUUCUUCA